Molecule: long non-coding RNA, 399 nt
Organism: Eufriesea mexicana
Lineage: Eukaryota; Metazoa; Arthropoda; Insecta; Hymenoptera; Apidae
Exons: 2
Source: RefSeq, a predicted model, not a curated record
UAGUUCAACUAAAUUGAAGAGAAGUAAAAAGAUAUAAUACUUUCAUGCGUAUAGCGACGAAGUGUGUCACUUGAGUCGUACUGAAGUGAUAAGUAGCAUCAAACUACGUAGUAUUCUUUAUUAAAAUAUAAUGGCGAGUGACGAACCAAAGUUGACUGGCAUCCUAAAAUAUUAUAAUAGUGUCACUGAUCGUGGUCGGUUUAAUGUAGCUGUGUCAACGCUUGGUGGGCUAGCACUUUUAGGUGUAUAUCUGUAUUUUAAACCAAAAAAAUCAGCUAAUAAUGGAUAAAGAAUUAUUCCGGUAGAUCUGUUAUUAUGUAAUAAAAAUUCGUGUACCAUUUACUUAUGAAAAUAGAAUCAUCUAAUAAAAAAAUAUAUUAAAUAAAGCAGUAUUGUAAA